CGGUUUGCUGACGCAUCUCGCGUGCGUUCAAAUUUGCGCGCGCUAAAACUAUUUCUAUGACAGCAUUUCGCGAAUAUUUCUGAGCGUUUAUUCAAUAUCCUGCUUUUGUCAGCUUCCAGUAAGCAAACCUUCUCUUCAAGGCACAGAUUGCAUCUUGCUGCACCAGCCGUAUACGCACGGGCACGCUUUAGUAUGCUCCACUUGAUGUUGUAUUGCUUCCCGCUUUUCUUGAGUUUCCACGCAUACUUUGAUAACUCUGUUUCCGCUGAAUACCGAGGAACAGUUAGUGAUUUUUUAUGGUUCGCAUGCCUCUUCUUGAACGUCCCCGCCGUCAUUCCAAUGUAUUCCUUCGUU
This 354-nucleotide long non-coding RNA is filed under the name Paramuricea clavata. The record is from RNAcentral. Lineage: Eukaryota; Metazoa; Cnidaria; Anthozoa; Malacalcyonacea; Plexauridae.